Molecule: long non-coding RNA, 754 nt
Organism: Topomyia yanbarensis
Lineage: Eukaryota; Metazoa; Arthropoda; Insecta; Diptera; Culicidae
Exons: 4
Source: RefSeq, a predicted model, not a curated record
CAUCUCCGGUGCCGACUUACGAAUACGUCACCGUUUUAGGCUCAGCUCCAGGCCCUGAUCCUUCUUUCUGCUCUGACAAUCAAAGAAAUAAGAAGUGCGCGCGGUGUUCUUAAUUUUCUAAAUUACAGUCAAUAGAAGUCCAAACACAACAGGACUGAUUAAUGGACUAGAGUAAUAGAGUUUAAAAGUUGUACGCAAAGUAAAUUAACGGUGAGAAGACGGUUCACAGACAAAUUAAAAUACCGGAAAAAAAGGUCCCCAGAGGACCUUUUAUUCUUGGCUCCAGAUUGUCAUCUGGAACCUAUUCCUUCGCAGGACGAGACCAAGAACAGGAACGGAAACUACCGCUAACAUACGGCUCUCUGUCCGUCGCCACGUGCCAAGACCCCCUUGGAAACAAUCCCGGCAGCCACCACGCCAUGCUUCUGCCUGCCGGCAACCCUGAAAACCGGCAACCACAAGCCGCAGGUCGAAUCUACUCCCGAGAGCAGAAAAUACCACUAUCCGGUCGAUGGACGUACGCCAUACACUCUCCGACGGCUAACCGUUGGACCAGAGUCCCAGUUAUAACCGACACACCGCCACUGCCGCCAUACACAGCCAUUGUCACCGUAAACCACCAACAUGUCACCCAGUCGACGAUCCGGCCAUCUUCCGUCUACACCCGUAAAACCAAACCGCAAGUAGCAAGUGACGUCACUUAGAAUUAGGUUAUUUAUAAGCAAUAAAUAGAGUUAAGAUGUUUAGUGAUGAA